This 810-nucleotide ribosomal RNA is filed under the name uncultured bacterium. RNAcentral's name for it is "bacterial SSU rRNA". It matches the Rfam family "Bacterial small subunit ribosomal RNA", at positions 8 to 858 of the family's 1533-position model. The record is from RNAcentral.
AGAGUUUGAUCAUGGCUCAGAACGAACGCUGGCGGCAUGCCUAACACAUGCAAGUCGAACGCUAAACCAUCUUCGGAUGGCAGAGAGUGGCGGACGGGUGAGUAACACGUGGGAACCUGCCUUGGGGUACGGGACAACAUCGGGAAACCGGUGCUAAUACCGUAUACGCCUUACGAGGGAAAGAUUUAUCGCCCCUAGAUGGGCCCGCGCUAGAUUAGGUAGUUGGUAGGGUAAAGGCCUACCAAGCCUACGAUCUAUAGCUGGUUUGAGAGGAUGAUCAGCCACACUGGGACUGAGACACGGCCCAGACUCCUACGGGAGGCAGCAGUGGGGAAUAUUGGACAAUGGGGGCAACCCUGAUCCAGCAAUGCCGCGUGUGUGAUGAAGGCCUUAGGGUUGUAAAGCACUUUCAGAUGGGAAGAUAAUGACGGUACCAUCAAAAGAAGCCCCGGCUAACUCCGUGCCAGCAGCCGCGGUAAUACGGAGGGGGCUAGCGUUGUUCGGAAUUACUGGGCGUAAAGCGCGCGUAGGCGGCUUGCCAAGUUGGGGGUGAAAUCCCAGGGCUUAACCCUGGAACUGCCCCCAAAACUGGCGAGCUAGAAUCCUGGAGAGGUGAGUGGAAUUCCUAGUGUAGAGGUGAAAUUCGUAGAUAUUAGGAAGAACACCAGUGGCGAAGGCGGCUCACUGGACAGGUAUUGACGCUAAGUGCGAAAGCGUGGGGAGCGAACAGGAUUAGAUACCCUGGUAGUCCACGCCGUAACGAUGAGUGCUAGAUGUCGGGCAGCUUGCUGUUCGGUGUCGCAGCUACGC